GCGGGCGCAGGAAAUUUGAGAGGAGCUGUCCUUAGUACGAGAGGACCGGGAUGGACGCACCGCUGGUGUACCAGUUGUUCUGCCAAGGGCAUCGCUGGGUAGCUAUGUGCGGACGGGAUAAGUGCUGAAAGCAUCUAAGCAUGAAGCCCCCCUCAAGAUGAGAUUUCCCAUUCCGCAAGGAAGUAAGAUCCCUGAAAGAUGAUCAGGUUGAUAGGUCUGAGGUGGAAGUGUGGCRACACAUGGAGCUGACAGAUACUAAUCGAUCGAGGACUUAACCAUAUUU
This 283-nucleotide ribosomal RNA is filed under the name Bacillus subtilis. RNAcentral describes it as "partial 23S ribosomal RNA". It matches the Rfam family "Bacterial large subunit ribosomal RNA", at positions 2647 to 2925 of the family's 2925-position model. The record is from RNAcentral. Lineage: Bacteria; Bacillati; Bacillota; Bacilli; Caryophanales; Bacillaceae.